RNAcentral lists this unclassified non-coding RNA (216 nucleotides) under rhizosphere metagenome. Its description in RNAcentral is "partial ribosomal RNA internal transcribed spacer region". The record is from RNAcentral.
GUAGGUGAACCUGCGGAAGGAUCAUUACAGAGUUCAUGCCCUCACGGGUAGAUCUCCCACCCUUGAAUAUUAUACCUUCGUUGCUUUGGUAGGCCGUGGAAACACCACGGGCCCCGGCUUGUGCGUGCCUGCCAGAGGAAACCUAAACUCUGUUUUUAGUGAUGUCUGAGUACUAUAUAAUAGUUAAAACUUUCAACAACGGAUCUCUUGGUUCUG